AUACUGCAGUCGAGCGGACAGAUGGGAGCUUGCUCCCGGAUGUUAGCGGCGGACGGGUGAGUAACACGUGGGUAACCUGCCUGUAAGACUGGGAUAACUCCGGGAAACCGGGGCUAAUACCGGAUGCUUGUUUGAACCGCAUGGUUCAAACAUAAAAGGUGGCUUCGGCUACCACUUACAGAUGGACCCGCGGCGCAUUAGCUAGUUGGUGAGGUAAUGGCUCACCAAGGCAACGAUGCGUAGCCGACCUGAGAGGGUGAUCGGCCACACUGGGACUGAGACACGGCCCAGACUCCUACGGGAGGCAGCAGUAGGGAUCUUCCGCAAUGGACGAAAGUCUGACGGAGCAACGCCGCGUGAGUGAUGAAGGUUUCGGAUCGUAAAGCUCUGUUGUUAGGGAAGAACAAGUACCGUUCGAAUAGGGCGGUACCUUGACGGUACCUAACCAGAAAGCCACGGCUAACUACGUGCCAGCAGCCGCGGUAUACGUAGGUGGCAAGCGUUGUCCGGAAUUAUUGGGCGUAAAGGGCUCGCAGGCGGUCCUUAAGUCUGAUGUGAAAGCCCCCGGCUCAACCGGGGAGGGUCAUUGGAAACUGGGGAACUUGAGUGCAGAAGAGGAGAGUGGAAUUCCACGUGUAGCGGUGAAAUGCGUAGAGAUGUGGAGGAACACCAGUGGCGAAGCGACUCUCUGGUCUGUAACUGACGCUGAGGAGCGAAAGCGUGGGGAGCGAACAGGAUUAGAUACCCUGGUAGUCCACGCCGUAACGAUGAGUGCUAGUGUUAGGGGGUUUCCGCCCCUUAGUGCUGCAGCUACGCAUAGCACUCGCUGGGGAGUACGGUCGCAGACUGAACUCAAGGAUGACGGGGCCGCACAGCGUGAGCAUGUGUUUAUCGAGCACGCGAGACUAACAGUCUGACAUCUCUGACAUCCUAGAGAUAGACGUCCAUCGGGGCAGAUGAAGUGGUGCAUGGUUGUCGUCAGCUCUGUCUG
Molecule: ribosomal RNA, 991 nt
Filed under: Bacillus subtilis
Lineage: Bacteria; Bacillati; Bacillota; Bacilli; Caryophanales; Bacillaceae
Description: bacterial SSU rRNA
Rfam family: Bacterial small subunit ribosomal RNA
Source: RNAcentral